CCUACGUGAGGCAGCAGUAGGGAAUCUUCCACAAUGGGCGAAAGCCUGAUGGAGCAACGCCGCGUGGGUGAAGAAGGUCUUCGGAUCGUAAAACCCUGUUGUUAGAGAAGAAAGUGCGUGAGAGUAACUGUUCACGUUUCGACGGUAUCUAACCAGAAAGCCACGGCUAACUACGUGCCAGCAGCCGCGGUAAUCCGUAGGUGGCAAGCGUUAUCCGGAUUUAUUGGGCGUAAAGGGAACGCAGGCGGUCUUUUAAGUCUGAUGUGAAAGCCUUCGGCUUAACCGGAGUAGUGCAUUGGAAACUGGGAGACUUGAGUGCAGAAGAGGAGAGUGGCACUCCAUGUGUAGCGGUGAAAUGCGUAGAUAUAUGGAAGAACACCAGUGGCGAAAGCGGCUCUCUGGUCUGUAACUGACGCUGAGGUUCGAAAGCGUGGGUAGCAAACAGGAUUAGAUACCCUAGUAGUC
This 465-nucleotide ribosomal RNA is filed under the name uncultured bacterium. RNAcentral's name for it is "partial 16S ribosomal RNA". It matches the Rfam family "Bacterial small subunit ribosomal RNA", at positions 338 to 795 of the family's 1533-position model. The record is from RNAcentral.